RNAcentral lists this ribosomal RNA (405 nucleotides) under uncultured bacterium. Its description in RNAcentral is "partial 16S ribosomal RNA". It matches the Rfam family "Bacterial small subunit ribosomal RNA", at positions 28 to 526 of the family's 1533-position model. The record is from RNAcentral.
GAUGAACGCUGGCGGCGUGCCUAAUACAUGCAAGUCGAGCGCAGCGGGGACGGGGGAGUAACACGUGGAUAACCUCCUAUACGACUGGGUUAACGUCGGGAAACCGGAGCAAAACCGGCUACUUGGGUAUGGAUCCGCGGUGCAUUAGCUAGUUGGUAAGGUAACGGCGUAGCAAGGCAACGAUGCAUAGACGACCUGAGAGGGUGAUCGGCCACACUGGAACUGAGACACGGCCCAGACUCCUACGGGAGGCAGCAGUAGGGAAUCUUCCGCAAUGGGCGAAAGCCUGACGGAGCAACGCCGCGUGAGUGAUGAAGGUCUUCGGAUCGUAAAACUCUGUUAUUAGGGAAGCGGUACCUAACCAGAAAGCCACGGCUAACUACGUGCCAGCAGCCGCGGUAAUUC